Molecule: ribosomal RNA, 508 nt
Filed under: uncultured bacterium
Lineage: Bacteria
Description: partial 16S ribosomal RNA
Rfam family: Bacterial small subunit ribosomal RNA
Source: RNAcentral
GAUGAACGCUAGCUACAGGCUUAACACAUGCAAGUCGAGGGGAAACGAUAGAGAAAGCUUGCUUUUUCUAGGCGUCGACCGGCGCACGGGUGAGUAACGCGUAUCCAACCUGCCCACCACUUGGGGAUAACCUUGCGAAAGUAAGACUAAUACCCAAUGAUAUCUCUAGAAGACAUCUGAAAUGGAGUAAAGAUUUAUCGGUGAUGGAUGGGGAUGCGUCUGAUUAGCUUGUUGGCAGGGUAACGGCCCACCAAGGCUACGAUCAGUAGGGGUUCUGAGAGGAAGGUCCCCCACAUUGGAACUGGGACACGGUCCAAACUCCUACGGGAGGCAGCAGUGAGGAAUAUUGGUCAAUGGACGGGAGUCUGAACCAGCCAAGUAGCGUGCAGGAUGACGGCCCUAUGGGUUGUAAACUGCUUUUAUAAGGGAAUAAAGUGAGUCUCGUGAGACUUUUUGCAUGUACCUUAUGAAUAAGGACCGGCUAAUUCCGUGCCAGCAGCCGCCGUAA